Octopus sinensis (East Asian common octopus) is the source of this 100-nucleotide long non-coding RNA. RefSeq lists it as uncharacterized. Lineage: Eukaryota; Metazoa; Mollusca; Cephalopoda; Octopoda; Octopodidae. The record is from RefSeq and is a predicted model, not a curated record. The transcript is spliced from 3 exons.
UGCACCACCACCCACCGAAUCAAGAAAGAGCUAUUGAUCUGUCAAUCCUACCGGUGUCCGGACCGGGUGAGUUUUCCCGUUAUGGGAGAUGAAUAAUUUU